This 641-nucleotide ribosomal RNA is filed under the name Grosmannia sp. WIN(M)1491. RNAcentral's name for it is "eukaryotic LSU rRNA". The stretch from base 246 to 399 matches the Rfam family "5.8S ribosomal RNA". The record is from RNAcentral. Lineage: Eukaryota; Fungi; Ascomycota; Sordariomycetes; Ophiostomatales; Ophiostomataceae.
AACCAGCGGAGGGAUCAUUAGCGAGUUCACAGUGACUCCCAACCCGUGCAAACCUUACCGCAUACUUUCCGAGAGAGAGCGCCUGUUGCCUCCUGUCGGGCGGAGUGCCCCUUCCCUCCUUCCGGCUACGGAGGGGGUGGGACGGGCACCCGCCCGCCGGGGGCGCGGCGUGGCCCGCUCCCUCUCGUCUUGAACCUUCUUUACAGUAUACCUAUAAUGUCUGAGUAAAACCACAGAAUCGUUAAAACUUUCAACAACGGAUCUCUUGGUUCUGGCAUCGAUGAAGAACGCAGCGAACUGCGAUAAGUAAUGCGAAUUGCAGAAUUCAGCGAGCCAUCGAAUCUUUGAACGCACAUUGCGCCCGCCAGCAUUCUGGCGGGCAUGCCUGUCCGAGCGUCAUUUCCUCCCUCACGCAGCACGCCUGCGUGGUGUUGGGGCGUUCUGCGGCCCGGCUUGCGCCUAGCGUAUGCCGCCGCAGCCCCCGAAAGCCAGUGGCGGGCCGGCAGCGGGCUCCGAGCGCAGUAAGCAGCAGUGCCCUCGCUUUGGACGCCCCCGCCUGCGCCCUGCCCCCAUUUUGGCAGACGUAAGUCUGCCUCCUUCUCAAGGUUGACCUCGGAUCAGGUAGGACUACCCGCUGAACU